GCACUGGCUAACUCUGUGCCAGCAGCCGCGGUAAUACAGAGAGUGCAAGCGUUAAUCGGAAUCACUGGGCGUAAAGCGCGCGUAGGUGGAUAUUUAAGUCGGAUGUGAAAGCCCUAGGCUUAACCUAGGAACUGCAUUCGAUACUGGAUAUCUCGAGUAUGGUAGAGGGAAGUGGAAUUUCCGGUGUAGCGGUGAAAUGCGUAGAUAUCGGAAAGAACACCAGUGGCGAAGGCGGCUUCCUGGACCAAUACUGACACUGAGGCGCGAAAGCGUGGGGAGCAAACAGGAUUAGAGACCCUGGC
Molecule: ribosomal RNA, 302 nt
Filed under: bacterium symbiont of Haemaphysalis obesa
Lineage: Bacteria
Description: bacterial SSU rRNA
Rfam family: Bacterial small subunit ribosomal RNA
Source: RNAcentral